This 748-nucleotide small RNA is filed under the name Pan troglodytes (chimpanzee). Its description in RNAcentral is "processed transcript". Lineage: Eukaryota; Metazoa; Chordata; Mammalia; Primates; Hominidae. The record is from RNAcentral.
AGGUGAUUCUCCUAGGUCACUGGCUGCUGACAACCUGCUUCUGGAGACAUUUCUCUGCCAAACCAAGACUGGAAACGAUUGAGCUCACCUGUGCACUUUGCAAACUUCGAAGUGCAGCGCACAGGGCAACAGCUGGGCUGCAUUGUAUUCUCAGGCUCCUAUGCCUGGGCCAACUUCACCAUCCUGGCCUUGGGCGUGUGGGCUGUGGCUCAGCGGGACUCCAUCGACGCCAUAAGCAUGUUUCUGGGUGGCUUGCUGGCCACCAUCUUCCUGGACAUCGUGCACAUCAGCAUCUUCUACCCGCGGGUCAGCCUCACGGACACGGGCCGCUUUGGCGUGGGCAUGGCCAUCCUCAGCUUGCUGCUCAAGCCGCUCUCCUGCUGCUUCGUCUACCACAUGUACCGGGAGCGCGGGGGUUUCCUUGGGUCUUCUCAGGACCGUAGUGCCUACCAGACGAUUGACUCAGCAGAGGCGCCCGCAGAUCCCUUUGCAGUCCCAGAGGGCAGGAGUCAAGAUGCCCGAGGGUACUGAAGCCAGCCACGCUGCACCCGGCCCUGCCCCGGGCCUUCCUCGUGCCUGGGAGGUCGUUCUAGGGAUGCUCCUGACCUCCGUCUCUUGGAUCUAAGAUGGAAUGUGUCCCCAGCUCAGGGAUUGCCUGAACCAAGAGGCCAGGAGCCCCCAUGGGCCGCCCAGUACCAUGCACACUCCUGUCCCGAACUCCCUGAGGCCUCCCCUCCCUUCAGGGCAC